GCGCGCAGGCGUACUGGUCCGCCUCCCCACCCCGCCCACCGCCCGCCGGAGGUAGCCGUUGGGAGGCGGUUGGGCGGGGCAACGGCCGCCGCUUGGAGGCCCCGCCCCCGGCUGGGCCCUGGGGAGCUGAGGUUUCCGACGGAAACGGGCGGUGCGCGCCGAGUCCUUGAACCUGGGCACUCCGGUCGGCCGCCUCAGGGUUGGCGGCGGAAGGACUCUUCGUUGGGGAGAAAAGCCUUCCCCGUACCGAAGGAGGAAGACCUAGAUUUAAAACAGGAGCGAGGCAGCUGAUGAGAACCACACACGCGCCUUGGAUCUGUGCUACACCUUAGCUGCAGGAACACUCCUACGGAUCCCUGUCAUUCACCUUUAAUUCUUUGGAAGGCAGACCAGGUGGUUCUUGCCGACAGACAGUUUGGAUCUUCUUGCCCCCUGCUCUAAAAACUCAGGGACCUCGGCUCAAGUAAACCCUUGGCCUUGUGAGCCACGCCCUCUCACCGGCAAACGCAUCACAUGCUACAAUGUGGCACACAUAAACGACCCAUCUUCCCGACCAGCCUUAUUCCUCACCGUCCCUAAGUGGGUUUUCUCCACUCCUGCACACUGGUCACCUAGCUAUCCAACCAGGUGGCCUGGCCCUUGCUUCUCAGAGGAGUGACCUGGCUAAAGUCACAUGACUGGAUUUUAGACAGGAUUACGACUGCAGCCCAAAGCUCAGGGGUCCCAGACUGGCAGAGAAACGCAUGAACCAAAUCAGCUGCAAGCCACUUCCCCAAGGAGCAGACAAGGGCCAAGGGACUGAUGUCAGAAAGCAACCAGGAGCAGACAGAAGCCACAGUCAAAGGCCCAAACUGGCCAAUGGAAUGUCUCAGAAACAAAGGCACAGUGUUGUGCCUCAACCCAGAAAGCAAUGUGAUGCUCUAGAAAACACGCCCUACAAAUACUGCAGGCUAUAUAUACAGAGAGGAGUGUCAAGUCCUGACGAGACCGGGUCCUGAGCCAUCGCUGUCACAGACGGAGAAACUGAGGCACAAACAGGACCAAUGACCUCUCCCCAACAUCACUGGCACGUGAGGGACAAGGGAACGACUCGGAGCGUAGGCCCACGAUCCCCUCCCCGCCGUUCCCAAACCCCACAGCUCGAAAAGCCCAAAGAAUUUCUUUAAGUUUGCGCCA
Molecule: long non-coding RNA, 1176 nt
Organism: Felis catus (domestic cat)
Lineage: Eukaryota; Metazoa; Chordata; Mammalia; Carnivora; Felidae
Exons: 4
Source: RefSeq, a predicted model, not a curated record